AGGCCACACUACAAACACUGCUGUGUCAUUUUGUCUCUCUGUGCAGGCCAGGGCCUAUUAUAUGCCACAGCCUAAAGGCAGCAGAGUUGCAGAGGCUGGAGUGACCACUGGCUAUCUACUUGCAGGGUGGUGGGUCUUAGAGGACAACUGCUAACCCUGUUGAAAUCAACACGUGGAGUGCAACUGAUAGUGUGGCAUAGCUGGCUCUGGCCUUCGGACUGUGUGUUUUUACUUGAUUGAUAAAUGGGGCACUGGACUCUUUUAUCUUUUGAUUAGUUGUCAAUAAAUUCUUUUAGAAUUUUAUUGACUGUCAUCUUUUUGCCCACGGCUGAGACAGUUGGUCAGACCUAGAAUCUUUUUUUGGGUGUGUUACAUGGCCCCUUCGAUUAGUGAGCAAUAGAAUCUUGUAGACAGGUUAAUAAUGUGAAUGACUGUCGAAUAAAUCCAUUCUUACUUGUGCUGCA
Oreochromis aureus is the source of this 464-nucleotide long non-coding RNA. RefSeq lists it as uncharacterized. The transcript is spliced from 2 exons. The record is from RefSeq and is a predicted model, not a curated record. Lineage: Eukaryota; Metazoa; Chordata; Actinopteri; Cichliformes; Cichlidae.